Molecule: small RNA, 263 nt
Filed under: Caenorhabditis elegans
Lineage: Eukaryota; Metazoa; Nematoda; Chromadorea; Rhabditida; Rhabditidae
Description: Unclassified non-coding RNA B0513.91
Source: RNAcentral
GUUCUUGAUGAACUUGGCGUCGACUCCCUUCAUGGAGAGGAAGAUGUGCUUCUUUGGCUUCGUGAUUCCAUUACGGUGAGCCUUCUUGUCUGAAAAUUAAAUUAUAAAUAUUCAAUACUGUUUUUUUCUAGUUUUUAUUUUAAUGAUUCAUCCAAAAAAAAAAUCGCUCAAAUUCUUUAAGAAUGCUUUUAAAAAGAGAUUUCUCUACAGAAACUACUUUUAUAUCUGAAUUUAAAUACUCACUCUGGUUGUGAUUGGUGUGG